AACGAACGCUGGCGGCAGGCUUAACACAUGCAAGUCGAACGCUCGUGGCAACACGGGAGUGGCGGACGGGUGAGUAACGCGUGGGAACGUGCCCUGAGGUUGGGAAUAACUGCGGGAAACUGCAGCUAAUACCUGAUGCGCCCCGAGAGGGGAAAGGAUUUAUCGCCUUGGGAGCGGCCCGCGUCGGAUUAGCUAGUUGGUGGGGUAACGGGCCUACCAAGGCUUCGAUCCGUAGCUGGUCUGAGAGGACGAUCAGCCACACUGGGACUGAGACACGGCCCAGACUCCUACGGGAGGCAGCAGUGGGGAAUCCUUGCGCAAUGGGGGCAACCCUGACGCAGCCAUGCCGCGUGAAUGAUGAAGGCCUUAGGGUUGUAAAGUUCUUUUGCCCGUGACGAUGAUGA
Molecule: ribosomal RNA, 404 nt
Filed under: uncultured bacterium
Lineage: Bacteria
Description: bacterial SSU rRNA
Rfam family: Bacterial small subunit ribosomal RNA
Source: RNAcentral